CAUGAGAUAGAAAGUGUUGAUGUACCGCAACAACGUGGUAGCCUAGAUUGCGGGGUGUUCUUGAUGUCAUAUAUGUUUAGCCUCGUAUCCGGUCAAGCAAUUUCAAUAGAUCAAAAGGAUUGUGCAAGACAUAGAGCUCGUAUCGUAGCUCUAUUUCUAUCUGAAGGAUAUAAACAAUCACCGCAAGCUCACUUCCUUGGAUGCUAGAUGCCAUCUAUCCUUUUUUUCCUGUUGAUUGUUGUAAAUCAUCAGAUGACAUCUAUACUUUUAUAUUUCGUCUACUAUUAUUUUAAGGCCCUUGGGCAAUUUCAAUGUUGAAUUUGGCCCUUCGAAGCUUACUGAUCCUUCGAAGAUUGGUGAGCUGUUGAACGGGUUGGAAACUAUGAGGAUGAAUAACCUCUUUUGGCA
Long non-coding RNA from Asparagus officinalis (garden asparagus), 408 nucleotides. RefSeq lists it as uncharacterized. Lineage: Eukaryota; Viridiplantae; Streptophyta; Magnoliopsida; Asparagales; Asparagaceae. The transcript has 3 exons. The record is from RefSeq and is a predicted model, not a curated record.